AAAGGGAGACCUAAUUCAGGUAGGAGACGAAAAAAAAGUAGUCGCUACCAAGAAUCAAUCCCAAAAGGUCGGAGCGAGGCGAAAUUGGCUUUCAAACUAGGUUCUGGGUUCAAACAAGACCUGAAUCAGGAACAAGGGCUAUUAGCUCAGGUGGUUAGAGCGCACCCCUGAUAAGGGUGAGGUCCCUGGUUCGAGUCCAGGAUGGCCCACCUGUACAGGUGGCAAAAACAAGAGAAGCGAGGAAUCAGCACCUUAUCUUACUGACAUAGUAAGAGAGAAUGCUGGCUCUGAGUUCAGAGUCCAGAGGAACCUUGAAAACUGCAUAGAGCUAGGUGAAAAAGCCAAAAAAGAAGACCGCAAG
This 361-nucleotide transfer RNA is filed under the name uncultured Microcystis sp. Its description in RNAcentral is "partial 16S-23S ribosomal RNA intergenic spacer". The stretch from base 136 to 209 matches the Rfam family "tRNA". Lineage: Bacteria; Bacillati; Cyanobacteriota; Cyanophyceae; Chroococcales; Microcystaceae. The record is from RNAcentral.